GCGAGAGUGGCGGAAUUGGUAGACGCACUGGAUUUAGGUUCCAGCGGGUUGAUCCCCGUGGGGGUUCGAGUCCCCCCUCUCGUA
Molecule: transfer RNA, 84 nt
Filed under: Myxococcales bacterium
Lineage: Bacteria; Pseudomonadati; Myxococcota; Myxococcia; Myxococcales
Description: tRNA-Leu
Rfam family: tRNA
About the family: Transfer RNA (tRNA) molecules are approximately 80 nucleotides in length. Their secondary structure includes four short double-helical elements and three loops (D, anti-codon, and T loops).
Source: RNAcentral